GGAGUUAGCCGGUGCUUCUUCUGUGAGUGAUGUCCUUCCUGCCGGCUAUUAACCCGCAGGCCUUCUUCCUCACUGAAAGUGCUUUACAACACGAAGGCCUUCUUCACACACGCGGCAUGGCUGGAUCAGGGUUGCCCCCAUUGUCCAAUAUUCCCCACUGCUGCCUCCCGUAGGAGUCUGGGCCGUGUCUCAGUCCCAGUGUGGCUGAUCAUCCUCUCAGACCAGCUACGGAUCGUCGCCUUGGUGAGCCGUUACCUCACCAACCAGCUAAUCCGACAUAGGCUCAUCCGAUAGCGCGAGGCCCGAAGGUCCCCCGCUUUCCCCCGUAGGGCGUAUGCGGUAUUAGCCUGGGUUUCCCCAGGUUAUCCCCCACUACCGGGCAGAUUCCUAUGCAUUACUCACCCGUCCGCCGCUCGCCACCAGGGAGCAAGCUCCCCGUGCUGCCGCUCGACUUGCAUGUGUUAGGCCUGCCGCCAGCGUUCAAUCUGAGCCAGAAUCAAACUCUGA
RNAcentral lists this ribosomal RNA (507 nucleotides) under uncultured bacterium. RNAcentral describes it as "partial 16S ribosomal RNA". The record is from RNAcentral.